Neogale vison (American mink) is the source of this 264-nucleotide long non-coding RNA. NCBI's taxonomy places the organism in Eukaryota, Metazoa, Chordata, Mammalia, Carnivora, Mustelidae. The record is from Ensembl.
GGCGUUGGGUAGGAGGCACCGCGUUUCCCCCACUCGUGGGUUGUUUUCCAUUGGAUGAAGGUCAACCUCGUUGCUAAAUGGAGUUUUCACUUGAAAGUUUUGGGGUGAUGUGGGAAGAUGUCUGCUGAAGUCCCAGGACUGCUGCUAGACACAGGGGAAGGGACCAUCCCAUAGGCUGCUUCGAUUGCUCUUCGGGCAUCUCCGGUGGCCUCUCAAGGUCUAGUCAUGAAUGAUUUGUGAUCAACAGUGAGGCAUUUUAAAAAA